RNAcentral lists this ribosomal RNA (253 nucleotides) under uncultured bacterium. RNAcentral describes it as "partial 16S ribosomal RNA". It matches the Rfam family "Bacterial small subunit ribosomal RNA", at positions 524 to 776 of the family's 1533-position model. The record is from RNAcentral.
UACGGGGGGGGCAAGCGUUGUUCGGAAUUACUGGGCGUAAAGGGCUUGUAGGUGGCCAACUAAGUCAGACGUGAAAUCCCUCGGCUUAACCGGGGAACUGCGUCUGAUACUGGAUGGCUUGAGUGUGGGAGAGGGAUGCGGAAUUCCAGGUGUAGCGGUGAAAUGCGUAGAUAUCUAGAGGAAUACCAAAGGCGUAGGCAGGUCACUGGACAGUUACUGACACUGAGGCACGAAGGCCAGGGGAGCGAACGGG